AUUGAACGCUGGCGGCAGGCCUAACACAUGCAAGUCGAACGAGUGGCGGACGGGUGAGUAAUGUCUGGGAAACUGCCCGAUGGAGGGGGAUAACUACUGGAAACGGUAGCUAAUACCGCAUACCAUCGGAUGUGCCCAGAUGGGAUUCGCUAGUAGGUGGGGUAACGGCUCACCUAGGCGACGAUCCCUAGCCGGGCUGAGAGGAUGACCAGCCACACUGGACAUGGGACACGGGCCUGACUCCUACGGGGGGCAGCAGUGGGGAAUAUUGCACAAAGGGCACAAGCCUGAUGCAGCCAUGCCGCGUUGAUGAAGAAGGCCUUCGGGUUGUAAAGUACGUUCAGCGAGGAGGCGUUACUCGCAGAAGAAGCAUCGGCGAACUCCGUGCCAGCAGCGGCGGUAAUU
Molecule: ribosomal RNA, 405 nt
Filed under: uncultured bacterium
Lineage: Bacteria
Description: partial 16S ribosomal RNA
Rfam family: Bacterial small subunit ribosomal RNA
Source: RNAcentral